UCAACAGCUGAUUCAUUGGAUC
This 22-nucleotide microRNA is filed under the name Anolis carolinensis (green anole). Its description in RNAcentral is "aca-miR-5457". Lineage: Eukaryota; Metazoa; Chordata; Lepidosauria; Squamata; Anolidae. The record is from miRBase by way of RNAcentral.